GAUGAACGCUGGCGGCGCGCCUAACACAUGCAAGUCGAACGGUUAAAGCACCUUCGGGUGUAUAUAAAGUGGCGAACGGCUGAGUAACACGUGGGCAACCUGCCCCGGAGUGGGGAAUAACAGUUGGAAACAGCUGCUAAUACCGCAUAAUGCAACGGAAUCGCAUGACUCUGUUGCCAAAGAUUUAUCGCUCUGAGAUGGCCUCGCGUCUGAUUAGCUAGUUGGCGGGGUAACGGCCCACCAAGGCGACGAUCAGUAGCCGGACUGAGAGGUUGGCCGGCCACAUUGGGACUGAGACACGGCCCAG
This 307-nucleotide ribosomal RNA is filed under the name uncultured bacterium. RNAcentral's name for it is "bacterial SSU rRNA". It matches the Rfam family "Bacterial small subunit ribosomal RNA", at positions 28 to 334 of the family's 1533-position model. The record is from RNAcentral.